CACGGGGGAAAUCCACCCGCGCCUGGAGCAGGGAGCGAACCGCUCCCCUUCUCCCCGCUGCACAGUUCAUGGCAGCUGACAGGCUGCUUCUGCCAAUCCUCCCUCUCCUAGACUUCUGCAAUUUUUCUUCAUCUCUGUUUAACUGAAAGUGAGCAUCCUAUCAGAUAUUUUAAGGAAAUCUCUCACACACACUGUGGUGAGAAAAUUUGCUACUGUGAUGAUUCUGGGUGUGGAUUUAUAGG
RNAcentral lists this long non-coding RNA (242 nucleotides) under Chrysemys picta bellii (western painted turtle). Its description in RNAcentral is "lncRNA (ENSCPBG00000020429.1)". The record is from RNAcentral. Lineage: Eukaryota; Metazoa; Chordata; Testudines; Emydidae.